Non-coding RNA from Zonotrichia albicollis (white-throated sparrow), 1806 nucleotides. The record is from RefSeq and is a predicted model, not a curated record. Lineage: Eukaryota; Metazoa; Chordata; Aves; Passeriformes; Passerellidae.
UUAAAAAGAAGAGGAGGAAAAUUACAAGACUGGGAUGAAAUCUGUCAUGUCAGCUAAGGUUACCACAGGAGCAUCACUGUAUGCUCCUGCUGGACUAUUCUGACCUGGCAAUGGAAGUCUUGGCAUUAGGCUACGUGUAACCCCGAGGUGCAUGUUAUAUGGAUUAAAGCUCUCUAAAUAAUAAACCUCACCCUGUAGUUGUUCAUGAGGCAGACUCCAGGGUGAGGUUUCAUAUAGCCCAAUGCUAUUCCACAUUUUUUGCAGGAAUUCUGGAGGAAUUAUAAAAUCACAGUGGGUGAUUCCCCCCUCCACUUUACAGCAUUUAGCUGAGAGCUCCCAAUGCCUAGUAAUGUAGAGCAAUUAAUAUGUCCUUUGCUUACAGCUUUGCUGCUAUCCUGAUAGUGCUGGCCAGUGCUAAUGCUGGCCACAGGAGUAGAUUCUCCUUCCCUGUGGCCAGCAUUAGCACUGGUGCUUCCAGUAUUUUGCCCCAAGUGGUCCUGCACCAGAAGCAAAGCUCCUUCAUGUCACCUCUUCUGCCUCCACAUUUUCCUUUGCUUGACUGGUUUCACUAUGUCAAUGUUUUUCAUGCACUGAAGAUGCUCAGAUGGGAUAUGUUGCUCCAAGUGUGAAUUCAAAAAUGCCCAAAAUAGAAAGAGUACCUCUCUUGUUUUGUUUUUUUUUUUCCUCUGCAGUUUUUCUAGUACAAGCCAGACUAUAUUUGGCCUUCAUUUGCACAUCAACAACUGGAUAUCACUAGGAAUGAAACCAGCCUGUAAUAUACAUAGUUAUUACAUCAUUCAGACAGGCAUGAAGAAGACGCACAAUGCUGCUGUUCAAACUGGCAGGUUGAAGUUGUCUCAGACAAUUUGUGAGAUCAGAGUGGAAAUCCACAGAAGUCCAUUCCUCUUGGCCAAGGGUCCAGAGUGAUUUUUUUGAGAACUCAAACUCUAACUGUUGGGGAACUCAGAUUUACAGAAGACACCAGAAAAGCCUUGGCAAGGCACAAUCACCUCUCAAACUUACUCUGUCUUGAUAUCGACAGCGUCAAGAGUACAAAACCCACCCAGCUCUUCCCUCCUCAGUUCCUGAGUCUGCCCUGCUGAGGGACAUCUCACAUGUCACAUUCCUAUCCUCUCAGGGCUGGGAGAGGUUGGGCUGCCACAGCAGCGAUUCCCUGCCGCUGUAAAUCAGACUGGGACUUCAGAGAAGGUGCAGAGGAACGGCCUUUUCUAAUGUAAAUGCAUUCAGCAAUGAAAGGAAGAGGGGAGGAAAGGGACACAGGGAGAAGCAGCUCCCUGUUUCAGAAGAGCUUUUCAGUGUUUUCCAAGAGGCGUCAGCAGCUCUUUAAACAGAAGCUUCUAGAUAAGAGAUUUUAGAAGGUCACUUCUUUGUGAGGCAGCAGACAGAGAAAGAGGAGAGGGAGGGAGAGUCUGUCCAAGAUGCCUCUUUUUUUCUAGCAGACACCCAAAUAUUCUUUUUCAGCUGUAACUGAGCCUGGCACAGAUUGGCACUGUGGCCCCCGGGUUCUGCUAACAAUAUCUCUGUUUGACAAUUCAGCUCUGGCUAAGGGGAGACAAGUAGGGAACCUUUUCUCCAGUGGUCCUUGUGGCCUGAAUACAUACAGAUGAGGAAUCUCUCCUUCCCUCUUUCGGUAGGUUUUGGAGUCACUGUCCCUCUUGCAGUGUGCUGAAUGUGGGCACGCAGAAAUCCAGUUCAGGUGUGCUGCCCAGUGCAACAGUGGACUUCAAUGGACCUCAAAGGUAGAACAGAUGCGUCUGAGGAAAAAAAUAAAAAUUGCAGACAAAA